AUGUCGCUCGCGCCGCCAACCCUAUCGAUCUCGCGCGUCACGCCUCGGGAGGAGAGGAAGCCCACGCUACAAUACCCGGCGGAGCACUCCCUCGCGCCGUCGACGGGAGGAGGCCAGGCGGAGUGCGCCGUCGUCGCCGCAGCCUGGAGUGCGCCGUCGUCGCCGCAACUCAUUCGCGCCUCCCCCACGUCUCCGACGAGCUCCAGCGAUGUCCCGGUGGCGGCCGAGGGGCGGGACGCAGCGGAUGGACGCGGCACUCGACCACUUCAACUUGAUGGCCUACCGCAAGGCCGACGUCCGCAACCUCUGUCAACAAGCUGCUCAAGGAUGUGUACGGGAGGGAUGGGUGGCCGUUCCUGGAGGACAGCUGGUACUCCGUCGUGCAGGAGGCGCUCUUUGAGAUGCAGGAGGAGCUCGCUGGCCUCGAUUCGUCCGGCGCAAUCCGGUGCGUCAAGAGGGCGUGCCGUCGGAUGCGCCGUUAGCUUCAGGCCAUGUAUCGACAUUGACAAGGGCAAAGUUAAACAGAUUGUUGGAUCUACUCUCCGGGAUGCAUCGAAUGAUGGCAUGACACGGGUGACAAAAGUCUCCAUCAGAAUUUGCAAAUAUUUACAAAGAAGAUGGACUGGUUGGUGGGCAUGUCAUAAUGCUUGGCGGAGACCCUGCAAGCUGCUAUGCUGCCCUGGAAGCACUCCUCUUCCUGCCUCACCACCUGUUCAGGAACCGUAUCAUAAGUGGUGCCUUCUUCCGCGAACAGUUGCGGUGCUCGCUGUCGGCGUCAGACUCCCAAGCAAGCGAGGAUGA
This 801-nucleotide ribosomal RNA is filed under the name Triticum aestivum (bread wheat). RNAcentral describes it as "partial small subunit ribosomal RNA". Lineage: Eukaryota; Viridiplantae; Streptophyta; Magnoliopsida; Poales; Poaceae. The record is from RNAcentral.